AUCUCUACAAGUUGCUCCUUCAUGAGGGCAUCGGGUCGUGGGUUGGCAUUGUAGCACGUUCUAUUUUGUGAAAAAGAAAAGAUGAUGUAUGUUUUGCCUUCGCGGACGAAACACGUGCAAUUUUCAUCUAGAAAUUGGCGACAUUCCUGACACUUGAGACACGCCGCAUGCCAUUCGAGAUCCGGUGCAACUCGUAGAAUAUGACGAUCGUGAAUUUGACCACCACAUCCCACGCACAGGGAUAAUCGUUGUUUCUCUGCAAGCCAAAAAAAAUGGAAUUUAUCAGUUUUGGCCUAUAUCUUCUCACAUUGUGCCAUGGGGAGACCACAAAAAAGUGGCAAAUUGUAUAUAAUGGAGAAGUUGGAAGAACAAUUCCUCGCAGAAUGGAGCAAGAGAAAACCGGCAUCGACAGACAAAAAGAUAAAAAUACUAUUGGAAUUGGCAAAUGCUGCCGCGUGGUUGCGAUGUGUGUGAAUUAUUCAUUAGGGCGGAGCGCUAUUUCUUGUUAUGUAGCAGAAGAAGCAUACACACCGCACUGAUCCCGCCUAGAAGUAAAAAAAAACGUCUCGUCACACAGCCCAGGGAAUCGCGUCCAAAAAUCUUGUGUGUGUCUUCCCCCGACAAAGGUUCUCAAACAGACAUCUAUUCGACACGAAAUUGAUGGUACGAUAAGGAAAUCGUGGCACAUAAUUGUUCAUCAGACGAUUUACAGACCUUCCACAAAUUGGCGUAUUUCAUUUUUAGUUACUUCUGGCGCCCUUCUUGGUGUCACUGUCGUCGUACACCGAAGAAAUGUCUUCUCAGAAUGAAAACGAAAGCCAAGAAUAAGACUUCAUUCCUUAAAUGGCGCCAUUUACUCACUUCCUGUCCCUGUGCCAAAACUGCACAGCCACAGUGUCUUGGAAAUUCCUGUGUGUGGUCAUCUGUGGAAAUUCCAUUCAUUACUUUAUCACCGGUGUGUCGUGUCAUAAAAAUAGCAUCAUCUCCACCCAUUGUCUGGACCCCUGCUGCUGACUGAGCCAUUCAAUUCGCCUCCAGACUCCAACUAUUGGUGCGCAGCAUUAAGUCCAUCAAUGUGCGGGGACUAGGAAAAAAGAAAAAAAAUAAAGCACAGAAAUCUCCUUCUUGAACGGCUUCUUUAUUCCC
Long non-coding RNA from Lutzomyia longipalpis, 1146 nucleotides. RefSeq lists it as uncharacterized. The record is from RefSeq and is a predicted model, not a curated record. The transcript is spliced from 6 exons. NCBI's taxonomy places the organism in Eukaryota, Metazoa, Arthropoda, Insecta, Diptera, Psychodidae.